GGUAUUGUUUACCCCAUGAUAAGCCCCGGAAACUUAUUGUGUGACCGAUUGUAAACAAAUG
Molecule: regulatory RNA element, 61 nt
Organism: Alloiococcus otitis ATCC 51267
Lineage: Bacteria; Bacillati; Bacillota; Bacilli; Lactobacillales; Carnobacteriaceae
Rfam family: Ribosomal protein L13 leader
About the family: This family is a putative r-protein leader autoregulatory structure found in B. subtilis and other low-GC Gram-positive bacteria. It is located in the 5' untranslated regions of mRNAs encoding the L13-S9 (rplM-rpsI) ribosomal protein operon.
Source: Rfam